Non-coding RNA from Streptomyces hygroscopicus subsp. jinggangensis 5008, 69 nucleotides. Lineage: Bacteria; Bacillati; Actinomycetota; Actinomycetes; Kitasatosporales; Streptomycetaceae. The record is from Rfam.
CUUGACCGAGCCGAGCCACAACGGCUCGGUACGGUCCUGCCCGUAAGUGGCCAGCAGCGCCUGCGCCUC